Molecule: regulatory RNA element, 47 nt
Organism: Callipepla squamata (scaled quail)
Lineage: Eukaryota; Metazoa; Chordata; Aves; Galliformes; Odontophoridae
Rfam family: Histone 3' UTR stem-loop
About the family: The mRNAs of metazoan histone genes lack a poly-A tail. 3' end processing occurs at a site between a highly conserved stem-loop (modelled by this family) and a purine rich region around 20 nts downstream (the histone downstream element, or HDE).
Source: Rfam
CCAAAGGCUCUUUUCAGAGCCACCCACUUCGCCGUAGAAAGAGCUGU